RNAcentral lists this ribosomal RNA (83 nucleotides) under Triglochin maritima. RNAcentral describes it as "partial 5.8S ribosomal RNA". It matches the Rfam family "5.8S ribosomal RNA", at positions 73 to 154 of the family's 154-position model. From Rfam's summary of the family: 5.8S ribosomal RNA (5.8S rRNA) is a component of the large subunit of the eukaryotic ribosome. It is transcribed by RNA polymerase I as part of the 45S precursor that also contains 18S and 28S rRNA. Functionally, it is thought that 5.8S rRNA may be involved in ribosome translocation. Lineage: Eukaryota; Viridiplantae; Streptophyta; Magnoliopsida; Alismatales; Juncaginaceae. The record is from RNAcentral.
UGCAGAAUCCCGCGAACCAUCAAGUCUUUGAACGCAGUUGCGCCCGGAGCCUUUGGGCUGAGGGCUUGCCUGCUUGGGUGUCA